Molecule: ribosomal RNA, 569 nt
Filed under: uncultured bacterium
Lineage: Bacteria
Description: bacterial SSU rRNA
Rfam family: Bacterial small subunit ribosomal RNA
Source: RNAcentral
AGAGUUUGAUUCUGGCUCAGGAUGAACGCUAGCGACAGGCUUAACACAUGCAAGUCGAGGGGCAGCGGGGGAGUAGCAAUACUCCCGCCGGCGACCGGCGCACGGGUGAGUAACACGUAUGAAACCUGCCCGUAGCAGGGGGAUAAGCGGAAGAAAUUCCGUCUAAUACCGCGUAACAACCCGAGGAGGCAUCUCCUCGGGUUUAAAGGGAGCGAUUCCGGCUACGGAUGGUCAUGCGUCGCAUUAGCUUGUUGGCGGGGUAACGGCCCACCAAGGCGACGAUGCGUAGGGGUUCUGAGAGGAAGGUCCCCCACACUGGUACUGAGACACGGACCAGACUCCUACGGGAGGCAGCAGUGAGGAAUAUUGGUCAAUGGCCGCAGGGCUGAACCAGCCAAGUCGCGUGAGGGAUGACGGUCCUAUGGAUUGUAAACCUCUUUUGUCAGGGAGCAAAGGGCGCCACGUGUGGCGUUUUGCGAGUACCUGAAGAAAAAGCAUCGGCUAACUCCGUGCCAGCAGCCGCGGUAAUACGGAGGAUGCGAGCGUUAUCCGGAUUUAUUGGGUUUAAA